Molecule: ribosomal RNA, 383 nt
Filed under: Salmonella enterica subsp. enterica serovar Weltevreden
Lineage: Bacteria; Pseudomonadati; Pseudomonadota; Gammaproteobacteria; Enterobacterales; Enterobacteriaceae
Also listed under: 1 other name
Description: partial 23S ribosomal RNA
Rfam family: Bacterial large subunit ribosomal RNA
Source: RNAcentral
AAUCCAUAGGUUAAUGAGGCGAACCGGGGGAACUGAAACAUCUAAGUACCCCGAGGAAAAGAAAUCAACCGAGAUUCCCCCAGUAGCGGCGAGCGAACGGGGAGGAGCCCAGAGCCUGAAUCAGCAUGUGUGUUAGUGGAAGCGUCUGGAAAGGCGCGCGAUACAGGGUGACAGCCCCGUACACAAAAGCGCAUGUGCUGUGAGCUCGAUGAGUAGGGCGGGACACGUGGUAUCCUGUCUGAAUAUGGGGGGACCAUCCUCCAAGGCUAAAUACUCCUGACUGACCGAUAGUGAACCAGUACCGUGAGGGAAAGGCGAAAAGAACCCCGGCGAGGGGAGUGAAAAAGAACCUGAAACCGUGUACGUACAAGCAGUGGGAGCCC